Molecule: ribosomal RNA, 467 nt
Filed under: uncultured bacterium
Lineage: Bacteria
Description: partial 16S ribosomal RNA
Rfam family: Bacterial small subunit ribosomal RNA
Source: RNAcentral
GAUGAACGCUGGCGGCGUGCUUAACACAUGCAAGUCGAACGGAAAGGCCCUGCUUUUGUGGGGUGCUCGAGUGGCGAACGGGUGAGUAACACGUGAGUAACCUGCCCUUGACUUUGGGAUAACUUCAGGAAACUGGGGCUAAUACCGGAUAGGAGCUCCUGCUGCAUGGUGGGGGUUGGAAAGUUUCGGCGGUUUGGGAUGGACUCGCGGCUUAUCAGCUUGUUGGUGGGGUAGUGGCUUACCAAGGCUUUGACGGGUAGCCGGCCUGAGAGGGUGACCGGCCACAUUGGGACUGGGAUACGGCCCAGAGGCCUACGGGAGGCAGCGGUGGGGAAUAUUGCACACUGGGCGGAGGCCUGAUGCAGCAACGCCGGGUGCGGGAUGACGGCCUUCGGGUUGUAAACCGCUUUCGCCUGUGACGAAGCGUGAGUGACGGUAAUGGGUAAAGAAGCACCGGCUAACUACGU